RNAcentral lists this transfer RNA (88 nucleotides) under Vibrio vulnificus. RNAcentral's name for it is "tRNA-Ser". It matches the Rfam family "tRNA". Rfam says of the family: Transfer RNA (tRNA) molecules are approximately 80 nucleotides in length. The record is from RNAcentral. Lineage: Bacteria; Pseudomonadati; Pseudomonadota; Gammaproteobacteria; Vibrionales; Vibrionaceae.
GGUGAGUUGUCCGAGUGGCUGAAGGAGCACGCCUGGAAAGUGUGUGUACGGUAACGUACCGAGAGUUCGAAUCUCUCACUCACCGCCA